UACGUAGGGUGCGAGCGUUAACCGGAAUUACUGGGCGUAAAGCGUGCGCAGGCGGUUUUGUAAGUCAGAUGUGAAAUCCCCGGGCUUAACCUGGGAACUGCGUUUGAAACUACAAGGCUAGAGUGUAGCAGAGGGGGGUGGAAUUCCACGUGUAGCAGUGAAAUGCGUAGAGAUGUGGAGGAACACCGAUGGCGAAGGCAGCCCCCUGGGUUAACACUGACGCUGAGACGCGAAAGCGUGGGGAGCAAACAGG
Molecule: ribosomal RNA, 253 nt
Filed under: uncultured bacterium
Lineage: Bacteria
Description: partial 16S ribosomal RNA
Rfam family: Bacterial small subunit ribosomal RNA
Source: RNAcentral